AAGCUCUGCUUGUCUCGUCUUGAUCUAAAAAAGCUUAAGAAGAUUGAACCAACACCUGCAACUAACAAGCAUCAAGGUUUAGAUCAAAGUCCACAUGAAGAACCAACCAAGACUCAAGAUCAAGCUUCAGAAGACUUAUAGAUAGGAAUAUUGUAACUCGUAGUUGAUAGACUUAGUUAGUCUUUUUUUAAUUUUGAUUUUGAUGUAAUAACGGGACCGCAGACCAGAACCCCGAUGACACCUCAAGAGGCCCAAACUUUACAAAAAUACAGGCUGAAGGUAGAAGACCCAUAAUCGAGCCUAAAUGAAAACAAACUGACAUACAAACCAAAGAGAUAUGCCAAAUGAACUUGAUCGUCAAUAUCUAACAGCUUGACAUACAUGAAAUAUUAAUUGCUUUCAAAAACCAUCUUACAUUCGUUCCUUGCUAUCCAAUCCCAAUUUUAUGUUAAAUACUGAUAUUAUCAAAAAUAAAGCACACCAUAUAAAACUCAUCACUUAAUGCAAACCUUAAUGCGGUACAUCAUAUCUAAGCCCAUACUAAGCCCAUAUGGAUUGAUUUUAUGAAAACCUUCAGCAUUAAUCUCCUGGAUUCCUCUUCCUUAGUAUUCGUGUCCUAAUUUACACAUGCCGACAUAUUUAAGCACAGAAUAUAAACCAACGUAUGUUGAAUCUUCAUGCAUCAGCCUUCAAAUACUGCACAUAAUCACUAUUGUAGAAGAAAUUGUGUAUUCCUUUUCAAAGAGAAUGUGACAGCAUAUCCAACAGUCAACAUACACAAUAGAUUUCAACCAUUUUACAGGCUAACAUACUACCUUUAAACACCUAUUCCACCAUUACAAACACAACCUUAGGCUAAUAACAUAAAUAAGCAAGCAAUCUCAUGAAGCAAAGCUGAAUUACUAAAGAAUUAAAGGAGUUUAAUGACAUAAAAUGACAUUUGAUAAACAACAUGUCAUGAAACUUUCCAUCAGAUUAUGUAACUUCAGAUUUCCAACUCUUACACAUCUAGGGAUCUAGAAAGUACCUAGAAAUUACAAAAGGAAGAAGAGGUGAAAGCGAUGAAUAGCAACAUCAGGACAACAAUGAGACAAUAUCAGCAGAAAUCAACUCCACCAGCAAAAGAAUUGUAAGCCACCACCAAACUCAAGUAAAAAAAUUCUUUAACCAACAGAUUCAGUCCAUUUGUGAAGUCCAAACCAAUAAAAUGACAAAUCCUAGAGAAUCAGCCCCAAUUUCUAACUCAAACCAUUUUCAAACUCCAAAUGAAUCACAAGUUGCUUCAGAGGCUGAAAAUUUCAGGAAUCAAAGAAGGAAAUUCAAUAGAACAAUAUUUUUCUCUCAAAAGUUCUAGUUGUCUGUAUUUUGUAUUUUCAGCUCUUAAGUUCUCUGCCUUGAAAGGCAAGGUAAAGAUGCCUUUAUAGGCAAACAAAUAGGGCAGACCUAAAAGUUCAGUUUUGCACUUCUAGUACCUCUCUAAUUUUAUUUUUUGCUUAAUCUAAGAAGCUUCCUAAACAGUUAACAAAGAUUUCCUCACCUAAAUUCCCUAAAUUACCCCUGAAACCUUGUUAAUUAACCCAAAAGCCCAAACGGGUCAACUGGCUAAGCUAAAUGGGUUGUAGCCCCCAAAUUGGAUCCUUAUUUGGGCAUGUUGCUAUUUAUCAACCAACUAAGAAUACUUAGGGGCUCCGGAAUAAAACUAACCUAGAAUUUUCCCCAAAUGAAGAAAACCCAAACCCAAUUCUGUGAAAGCAAACUGAAACAAAAGCAAAAAAUGAAUGAAUUAACCACUAUAAUUUCAUAAUAACAAUUAACUAAUCAUUGACCUAAUUUUAUUAGCUAGAUGAUUUAACUAACGAUGAGACAACAAUUAGCUAUUAACAUAGAGAUUAAAACCAAGAGAAGAAAGUGUAUUAAAAGGAACUGAGAUAUUAUAGCUAACAAAGAAAAAAACGAGGAACCAGUUUGAACUACAGAAUACCCAAACAACAUUUGGACCAAUCCAAACAGAAGGGGAUGAGGAGGAAAAUGAACCACGGAAAGGAAAUCAAUCAAGAGAGGAAGAAAAACUUACCCAGUCACGCUCGAAUGAGGUCGCUUUUGAUAAAUCAAUAGGUUUUUAGUCUUGCAUAAGGCUGGUGGACUUCUUCAAAUUAUUGACCCGAAUAGCCCUUAAUCGUGUGUUUCCAUGUGAAAACACACGAAAAAAGGCCGUUACAGUCCAAAUUAUUCAAAAAACCGAUGAUUUGCACUUUGGUUUUUUAGGGUUCCUAUAUUCAAAUCAAGAUUCGAGAAGAUGCGGGAAGAUUCGAAGGAAAUGAAGUAUAUUUAUCGAAUGAGGGGGAGACGGGGGUUCAGGGUUGUUAAUUUGGUGGUAACUAGGACUGGUGCCGUCACCUUAAGGCGGUGGAAACAGAGGCGGCGGGCCAGGGUUUUUGGAUGGUCUCUGAGAUAGAGAGGAGUGAAGCAGACGAUGUAGAGGGGGAGAGUGAUUUAGACACUUAAUAUUUAAGUGUCCCCC
RNAcentral lists this long non-coding RNA (2521 nucleotides) under Nicotiana benthamiana. RNAcentral describes it as "long non-coding RNA (NBEN_LNC004999)". Lineage: Eukaryota; Viridiplantae; Streptophyta; Magnoliopsida; Solanales; Solanaceae. The record is from RNAcentral.